This 477-nucleotide ribosomal RNA is filed under the name Salmonella enterica. RNAcentral describes it as "bacterial SSU rRNA". It matches the Rfam family "Bacterial small subunit ribosomal RNA", at positions 626 to 1102 of the family's 1533-position model. The record is from RNAcentral. Lineage: Bacteria; Pseudomonadati; Pseudomonadota; Gammaproteobacteria; Enterobacterales; Enterobacteriaceae. RNAcentral also lists the same sequence under 1 other name.
UUCGAAACUGGCAGGCUUGAGUCUUGUAGAGGGGGGUAGAAUUCCAGGUGUAGCGGUGAAAUGCGUAGAGAUCUGGAGGAAUACCGGUGGCGAAGGCGGCCCCCUGGACAAAGACUGACGCUCAGGUGCGAAAGCGUGGGGAGCAAACAGGAUUAGAUACCCUGGUAGUCCACGCCGUAAACGAUGUCUACUUGGAGGUUGUGCCCUUGAGGCGUGGCUUCCGGAGCUAACGCGUUAAGUAGACCGCCUGGGGAGUACGGCCGCAAGGUUAAAACUCAAAUGAAUUGACGGGGGCCCGCACAAGCGGUGGAGCAUGUGGUUUAAUUCGAUGCAACGCGAAGAACCUUACCUGGUCUUGACAUCCACAGAACUUUCCAGAGAUGGAUUGGUGCCUUCGGGAACUGUGAGACAGGUGCUGCAUGGCUGUCGUCAGCUCGUGUUGUGAAAUGUUGGGUUAAGUCCCGCAACGAGCGCAAC